GUGAAUCAUCAAAUCUUUGAACGCAAAUUGCACUCUCCUCGGAGAGUAUGCCUGUUUGAGGGUCAGCCUAUAAAAAAUCGACAUCGUUGCUGUUUCGCGGGGGCGUUCGUCGGAAAUUGGGUCAUCUUAAAUCUGUGGGGGUUAAGCGACUUAAAAUUUUCGUUUUGGUUCCAUGAACGUUUCUAAGAUUUAUUUCUUGACACGGUUAAGGUAUCGAUUUUUAUUAGACGUGACCAUCAUAUCGGUGCGCGCCCAUAAGCUUGCAUUAACUGACGUAAGAAAGGUAAGAGU
RNAcentral lists this unclassified non-coding RNA (291 nucleotides) under Glomus sp. RNAcentral describes it as "partial contains 5.8S ribosomal RNA and internal transcribed spacer 2". The stretch from base 1 to 65 matches the Rfam family "5.8S ribosomal RNA", at positions 84 to 154 of the family's 154-position model. The record is from RNAcentral. Lineage: Eukaryota; Fungi; Glomeromycota; Glomeromycetes; Glomerales; Glomeraceae.